This 466-nucleotide ribosomal RNA is filed under the name uncultured soil bacterium. RNAcentral describes it as "bacterial SSU rRNA". It matches the Rfam family "Bacterial small subunit ribosomal RNA", at positions 338 to 795 of the family's 1533-position model. The record is from RNAcentral.
CCUACGGGUGGCAGCAGUGAGGAAUUUUGCGCAAUGGCCGCAAGGCUGACGCAGCAACGCCGCGUGGGUGAUGAAGGCCUUCGGGUCGUAAAGCCCUGUCAGGUGGGAAGAAAGGCUUUAGGUUGAAUAGGCUUGAAGUUUGACGGUACCACCAGAGGAAGCACCGGCUAACUCCGUGCCAGCAGCCGCGGUAAUACGGAGGGUGCGAGCGUUAUUCGGAAUUACUGGGCGUAAAGCGCGUGCAGGCGGGAAGGCAAGUCUGAUGUGAAAGCCCGGGGCUUAACCUCGGAAGUGCAUUGGAAACUGUUUUUCUUGAGUACUGGAGAGGAAGGGGGAAUUCCCGGUGUAGAGGUGAAAUUCGUAGAGAUCGGGAGGAAUACCAGUGGCGAAGGCGCCCUUCUGGACGGUUACUGACGCUGAGACGCGAAAGCGUGGGGAGCAAACAGGAUUAGAUACCCUAGUAGUC